CUGGACCGCGCGGCGGGAUCCCGAAAGCUCACGGUAAUUGGCCGCUGGCGGAGUAGGCCGCUACUUCUUCGCGCGUUAGGAAGAGGAAAGAAGUGCCCUUCCGGCCUCUGAAAUGUGAGAAGACUCACGUUUCUCCACGUUGGUAAUAAGCUGGAAUUCGGGUUUUGUAUUCUUAGUGUAUGAGCCACUUUGAACCCCAACGCAUGCUCUGCGAAGAUGGGUUUAGGUUAUUCUCCCGCUUCUGCGGUACUCGCGCUUUUUUCUCCAAGGAGUUAGCAUUUCCUUUUCUUCUGAGUGAACAUCCACUUAAAUGGGAUAAAGCGCGCGUAGUUUUACACAAUAGUAUGGAAGCUUCUAGUAAUGAGUUUGGGAAAGAACUAGAGUCCGUCUGUAGGAGCCAUAGUAAGGGAAGGGACCUGUCAUUAAAGCAGUCUUUAGAGCUUCCAGCCCAUUCGAACUCUCCCGCAGUUAAUCUUUCGGUAUCAUUCACUUUCACACAUUCAAGGAAGAGAAUUAAGGGAGCACUAGUAUCCCGGGCUGGAAUCCUUCCUCAGGGCGGGAUUUACGCGUGUUCUAUGGCUCCUUCCCUCUUCUCAAAAUGGCCUCAGCUCGUUCAUACCCGAAGUUUCAGUUUGAAUCUGCCUCUCAGUUCAGAGUCGUAAACUGACCAGGACUCUUUGUAUUACGUAGGUGCGUACAUUUGCCUUGAAGGCACUUCUUUCCCAAACGGGAGCUGUUGAAAAGAAGUAGUAACGUUGUGCUCUAGGAUUUAAUUUGAACUUUACCUUCAUGUAAUUUUCAAAUGUAUUUAGUCGGUAUGAACUUGUGUCUAAAGCAAAAGUAAGAAUCUUUGUGAUUCGAUGCUUAUUAGAUGCUAGACAUUUUUGGAAUACAGUGUUAAGCUAAUGGUAAUCAGAAAUCAAUUUUGUGGUAUGUUUUGAUAACAUUAGGAGUUCACUUCAUUAACUUACUUUUUAACCCCUAGUUGGAUUAAAGGAUCAUUUGACUCAAAAUCCUUAAAUCUGUAGUGAUGUAGCAUACCGCUCAUAUUUUUGUAAUGUGAACACAUUAUAAAUAAAAAUGUACCUGUACUUGUUUAUAAUCAGAAAUUUACCAGGUAGUCAACAGGGGGAUACCAUUAACACCAAUUAUUCGAUUUGUUUACCUAAUUUUUAUUUACUGUUUCUGAACGUGUUUAAAAUCGUGACUGAAACGUUAAUAUAAUGACAGCAACCCUGUUAGAGGGGUUUUUAGAGAAGAUUCAACCGGAAUUAAUUUAUUCAAGCAGCAUAUUGAGUCAGUUUGUUCCAUACACUAUACUUCGAUACUGGAGACUUUUAAAAAUGUGUUAAUUGGAUUUUUUGCUUUCUAGGAAGCCAUGAUAUAGUCAAAGAACCAAAUGCAAAAGAGUAGUAGUAUCUGAUUAAUGCUUUCAAAGCGUAGACAAGAUUUAGGCACUGUUAAUUCGUCCAUUUGUUCUGUAAACAUUUAUAAAGAGUUCUGCUGUGAAUCAGGUACUGUACACAUCACAAGGGAGUUGGGUACCCUACUGCCAAAGGACUGAUAUUUUAAGCAAGGCAUUAAAGAAUGAGAGUUUGACCAGUGGAUAAAGAAGCAGCAUGCACCAAGAGUAUUAUGCUAUGUUCUUUGGAAGGAAGAGGUAUAAGAACAGCUUAUUGCCUUCAAAGAGCUACACACUGGUGGGAAAUCUAUUGGCAUUUCAGCUGAACAGUUCUUUGUUAUGCGGGAAAGCAGAACAAAUGAUCAGGGUCCCUGGACCCUAUCUAGUUAAAGCUAGUAGCAUUUACUCCAGCUGAUUGUUGCCAUCUGGCAGUGGAGCUCGGUCUUUUUUCCAGAGAAUUCUAAUAGUUUGUUUUUUUUUAAUGUGACGUUUUCAGAUUUUAUAAUACUCUGUGAGCUAAAUCUAACACAGGGGCACCAAAUUGCUUCUCUAGGGUUUCCAACGGUAUAGUUUAGAAAUUAUAUUUGGGUAUUUCAAGCUUUAUCUGUAGAGGGUGAUAUUGAAAUUAUUUGACUAGAUACUUAGUGAUCACACUGAUAACAAGUUCUGUCCCUGAAGCAUUGGAAAAUUAAUACGUAUCUACUUUUUUCCCC
Molecule: long non-coding RNA, 2115 nt
Organism: Bubalus bubalis (water buffalo)
Lineage: Eukaryota; Metazoa; Chordata; Mammalia; Artiodactyla; Bovidae
Exons: 2
Source: RefSeq, a predicted model, not a curated record